UGAUGAACGUUUUCUGAUAUUAGAAGAUUUGUGAUAAAUCACAGAAAUCUUAAAUCACUUCACCUGAUAAUUACACUGAUACACUCCGAAAGCUAUAAAAGUCAAUGAUAUGGCGUACGUAUAACCAACUCAUCUAUCAUGGAGGGAAACAUAGCAUGCAAUUUCAAAUAAAUUUAAGUAUUCGAGUGGUUACUCAGGAAUCCAGAAUAAGAU
Molecule: long non-coding RNA, 213 nt
Filed under: Elaeis guineensis (African oil palm)
Lineage: Eukaryota; Viridiplantae; Streptophyta; Magnoliopsida; Arecales; Arecaceae
Description: long non-coding RNA (EGUI_LNC011247)
Source: RNAcentral